AUAUUAUAUUUUGAUUAUUAGUUACACUAUUUAUCGCGCCUAAAAGUGUAGUGUAUACUAGUCUGGGAGCCGUUUUUCUUGUGGCGAUUUUUUAAAUGAAUUAUCUACGUAAAUAUUGAACCCACGGGGGGCGCCUCACCCCUGCCUUCCCCAUGGACAGUCCAGCAAUGUCUGCUUCCACUCCCCCUGUGUUUCCAGACCCAGAGAGUGAAGCAAAGCCAGAAUCAACCACCACACUAGAUAAAUAGCCAUUACUGUGACGAUGGAAUGCUGUCAGCGAGCAGCAUGGAAGACGCAGAGAGAGUGGUGGUCAGGUGGUGGUGGAGACAGGGAGAGUAUGUGGCCUGGAGAUUAACAAACAGAACACCAAUAAUCUUGUGACCUCCAUGCACCCUUCCUAAUGUCAAUAAAGUUGUCUUAGUAUGCCCAAAAUUGUCUUCUACUGCAAUUACUAAUAAACCAUAUUAUUAUUA
RNAcentral lists this long non-coding RNA (473 nucleotides) under Portunus trituberculatus (swimming crab). RNAcentral describes it as "uncharacterized LOC123510516". The record is from RNAcentral. Lineage: Eukaryota; Metazoa; Arthropoda; Malacostraca; Decapoda; Portunidae.